This 86-nucleotide transfer RNA is filed under the name Coxiella burnetii Cb175_Guyana. RNAcentral's name for it is "tRNA-Leu (TAA) (tRNA-Leu-TAA-2-1)". The record is from RNAcentral. Lineage: Bacteria; Pseudomonadati; Pseudomonadota; Gammaproteobacteria; Legionellales; Coxiellaceae.
UAAUCAAUAAGUUAGAUUUUCACUCCGGGACUUAAAAUCCUCGGGAGUUAAAUCCCGUGCCGGUUCAAGUCCGGCCCCGGGCACCA